GACGAACGCUGGCGGCGCGCUUAACACAUGCAAGUCGAACGGAAAGGCCUGCUUUCCCUUGUGGAUUGCGGGUACUCGAGUGGCGAACGGGUGAGUAACACGUGAGUGAUCUGCCCCCAACUUGGGUAUAAGCCUGGGAAACUGGGUCUAAUUCCCGAUAGGACUGCAGGGUGGUGCCUGUGGUGGAAAACGAUUUUCUAGUGGUUGGGGAUGAGCUCGCGGCCUAUCAGCUUGUUGGUGGGGUAAUGGCCUACCAAGGCGGCGACGGGUAGCCGGCCUGGGAGGGUGGACGGGCACAUUGGGACUGAGAGACGGCCCAGACGCCUACGGGAGGCAGCAGUGGGGAAUAUUGCACAAUGGGCGGAAGCCUGAUGCAGCGACGCCGCGUGGGGGAUGACGGCCUUCGGGUUGUAAACUCCUUUCGACCGCGAGGAAGCCACCUGGUUGGAAGGGUGGUGACGGUAGUGGUAGAAGAAGCACCGGCUAACUACGUG
Molecule: ribosomal RNA, 494 nt
Filed under: uncultured bacterium
Lineage: Bacteria
Description: partial 16S ribosomal RNA
Rfam family: Bacterial small subunit ribosomal RNA
Source: RNAcentral